UAGCUCUGUCAGUUAGAGCAUGGUGCUUAUAACACCAAGGCUGCAGGUUCGAUCCCCGC
RNAcentral lists this transfer RNA (59 nucleotides) under Apaloderma vittatum (bar-tailed trogon). It matches the Rfam family "tRNA", at positions 8 to 63 of the family's 71-position model. Rfam says of the family: Transfer RNA (tRNA) molecules are approximately 80 nucleotides in length. Lineage: Eukaryota; Metazoa; Chordata; Aves; Trogoniformes; Trogonidae. The record is from Rfam by way of RNAcentral.